CAGUGGGGAAUAUUGCGCAAUGGGCGAAAGCCUGACGCAGCGACGCCGCGUGAGGGAUGAAGGUCUUCGGAUUGUAAACCUCUUUCAGUAGGGACGAAGCGAAAGUGACGGUACCUAAAGAAGAAGCACCGGCUAACUACGUGCCAGCAGCCGCGGUAAUACGUAGGGUGCAAGCGUUGUCCGGAUUUAUUGGGCGUAAAGAGCUCGUAGGCGGUUAGACACGUCGGAUGUGAAACCUGGUGGCUCAACCACCAGCCUGCAUUCGAUACGGUCUGACUAGAGUGUGGUAGGGGUAACUGGAAUUCCUGGUGUAGCGGUGAAAUGCGCAGAUAUCAGGAGGAACACCGAUGGCGAAGGCAGCGUUACUGGGCCAAUACUGACGCUGAGGAGCGAAAGCGUGGGGAGCAAACAGGAUUAGAUACCC
Molecule: ribosomal RNA, 424 nt
Filed under: actinobacterium SCGC AAA028-O09
Lineage: Bacteria; Bacillati; Actinomycetota; Actinomycetes
Description: bacterial SSU rRNA
Rfam family: Bacterial small subunit ribosomal RNA
Source: RNAcentral